RNAcentral lists this ribosomal RNA (485 nucleotides) under uncultured bacterium. Its description in RNAcentral is "partial 16S ribosomal RNA". It matches the Rfam family "Bacterial small subunit ribosomal RNA", at positions 28 to 507 of the family's 1533-position model. The record is from RNAcentral.
GAUGAACGCUAGCGACAGGCUUAACACAUGCAAGUCGAGGGGCAGCACAGGUAGCAAUACCGGGUGGCGACCGGCGCACGGGUGAGUAACGCGUAUGCAACUUACCUAUCAGAGGGGGAUAACCCGGCGAAAGUCGGACUAAUACCGCAUGAAGCAGGGGUCCCGCAUGGGGAUAUUUGCUAAAGAUUCAUCGCUGAUAGAUAGGCAUGCGUUCCAUUAGGCAGUUGGCGGGGUAACGGCCCACCAAACCGACGAUGGAUAGGGGUUCUGAGAGGAAGGUCCCCCACAUGGGUACUGAGACACGGACCAAACUCCUACGGGAGGCAGCAGUGAGGAAUAUUGGUCAAUGGCCGAGAGGCUGAACCAGCCAAGUCGCGUGAGGGAUGAAGGUUCUAUGGAGCGUAAACCUCUUUUAUAAGGGAAUAAAGUGCGGGACGUGUCCCGUUUUGUAUGUACCUUAUGAAUAAGGAUCGGCUAACUCCGUG